Long non-coding RNA from Mytilus californianus (California mussel), 373 nucleotides. RefSeq lists it as uncharacterized. NCBI's taxonomy places the organism in Eukaryota, Metazoa, Mollusca, Bivalvia, Mytilida, Mytilidae. The record is from RefSeq and is a predicted model, not a curated record. The transcript has 3 exons.
UUUGCAACCAAUGAACCCGGUGUAAUAGUAGCACCCAGCUGAACAGAGAGUUUGAUAACAGAAUUGGAAUAUUUGUUGUUCACCAUUAGCACAGCAGCAUGAGCCCGACCGGGAAAGUUUCUGUGAAAAGUUACAUUUUUAGGAUUGCACCUACUCAGUGAACGGUUGAAUCCCUCACUUUUUUGAGUUGAGCGUUAAUCAUGUACUGAAGAGCAUUCUGUUGAAAAAUCUUAUAUGUGAAUUGGUCUGCAGAUGACACAUUAGCUUUGAGCCUAAAGAUAUCAAGUUUUGAAGAAAAAAGAAGGAAAAAUGGACCAAAACAGACCGUCAAAUGAACUCAAAAAGGUGCAAUAAAAUUGUUUAUCAUCUUAAA